This 498-nucleotide ribosomal RNA is filed under the name uncultured bacterium. RNAcentral's name for it is "partial 16S ribosomal RNA". It matches the Rfam family "Bacterial small subunit ribosomal RNA", at positions 28 to 523 of the family's 1533-position model. The record is from RNAcentral.
GAUGAACGCUAGCGGCAGGCCUAAUACAUGCAAGUCGAGGGAGAAUGUUGGAUUCGUCUGACAUGAAACCGGCGCACGGGUGCGUAACACGUAUGCAACCUACCUUUAACUGGGGCAUAGCUCAGAGAAAUCUGAAUUAAUCCCCCAUAAGACUACGACAGGGCAUCAUGAUGUAGUUAAAGCUCCGGCGGUUAAGGAUGGGCAUGCGAUACAUUAGCUAGGUGGUGAGGUAAUGGCUCACCAAGGCUACGAUGUAUAGGGGGUCUGAGAGGAUGAUCCCCCACACUGGUACUGAGACACGGACCAGGCUCCUACGGGAGGCAGCAGUAGGGAAUAUUGGUCAAUGGACGCAAGUCUGAACCAGCCAUGCCGCGUGAAGGAUGAAGGCCCUAUGGGUCGUAAACUUCUUUUAUUAGGGAAGAAAAAACGGGAUGCGUCCUGUACUGACGGUACUUAAUGAAUAAGGAUCGGCUAACUUCGUGCCAGCCGCCGCGGUAA